Molecule: ribosomal RNA, 497 nt
Filed under: uncultured bacterium
Lineage: Bacteria
Description: partial 16S ribosomal RNA
Rfam family: Bacterial small subunit ribosomal RNA
Source: RNAcentral
GACGAACGCUGGCGGCGUGCCUAAUACAUGCAAGUUGAGCGCUGAAGGUUGGUACUUGUACCAACUGGAUGAGCAGCGAACGGGUGAGUAACGCGUGGGGAAUCUGCCUUUGAGCGGGGGACAACAUUUGGAAACGAAUGCUAAUACCGCAUAAAAACUUUAAACACAAGUUUUAAGUUUGAAAGAUGCAAUUGCAUCACUCAAAGAUGAUCCCGCGUUGUAUUAGCUAGUUGGUGAGGUAAAGGCUCACCAAGGCGAUGAUACAUAGCCGACCUGAGAGGAGGAUCGGCCACAUUGGGAAUGAGACACGGCCCAAACUCCUACGGGAGGCAGCAGUAGGGAAUCUUCGGAAAUGGACGAAAGUCUGACCGAGCAACGCCGCGUGAGUGAAGAAGGUUUUCGGAUCGUAAAACUCUGUUGGUAGAGAAGAACGUUGGUGAGAGUGGAAAGCUCAUCAAGUGACGGUAACUACCCAGAAAGGGACGGCUAACUACGUG